RNA transcript from Phoenix dactylifera (date palm), 1123 nucleotides. It is a transcript of the gene named glucosamine 6-phosphate N-acetyltransferase-like, with no coding region annotated. NCBI's taxonomy places the organism in Eukaryota, Viridiplantae, Streptophyta, Magnoliopsida, Arecales, Arecaceae. The record is from RefSeq and is a predicted model, not a curated record.
GAAAGAGCGUGAGCGUCGCUCCACCAUCCGUCUGGAAGUAGGACUCGCAAGGCCUUGAAGGCGGUUAUUAUUACUCUGAACGCCAAAAGCAGCGGAGGGAGAAUGGAGAGCUGCGAGAGCAGACAGGGCCCGGAGGCCGAGGGCGGUGGAGGAGACGACGAUCUCCUCCCUAUCCGGCGGCUGGAGAUCUCUGACAAAUCCAAGGGCUUUGUCGAACUCCUAGCCCAGCUCAGCCACUGCCCCUCUCUCUCAGACGCUGAUUUCCGCGCCCGCUUCGCCGACCUCGCCGCUCUCGGCGACGACCACGUCAUCUGCGUCGUUGAGGACCGCCGCACCGGCCGGAUCGUCGCCACCGGCAGCGUCUUCAUCGAGAGGAAGUUCCUCAGGGGCUGCGGCAAGGUCGGCCACAUCGAGGACGUCGUCGUCGAUGCCGCCGCCCGCGGCCGCCGACUGGGCCAGCGGGUGGUCCGGUACCUCGUGGAGCACGCCAAGGGUGCCGGGUGCUACAAGGUGAUCCUCGACUGCGAGCGGGAUCGGAAGGCGUUCUACGAGAAGUGCGGCUUCACGGAGAAGAGCGUCCAGAUGACGCUCUACUUUUGAUCCGGCGGAACCUAGGGUUAGCUUCUUUCAUUUCCUCGGAAAAGGAAUUUUCAUGGAAUUUAUUGUUUAUUGCCAAAAAAGUGGUAUCGUGCCAGACAGAGCACUGGAACACAUUGUGAUGUGCCGAUGUUGGAAGCUGAUGCUACUGCUGGAUGAUAUCCAAUUUUUGCUAGCACAAGUGAAAGUUGAUGCUGGCGUGGAUGCCACGAGUUAUCGUGGUUGGCAACGCGCACUUGUGAAGCUUAUUCAAUGCACAGCAGAACUCAUUUAGGAUGGGAAUCCUAUUGCUUUUCGAAAUAUUGCAUGUGUUGUUUCAAUUAGAUCAUUAUAUGCUUCCAUUAAUGGAUUGGACAUCAGAUAAAGGCUGCUCACCACUUGGUGUAGCUUUCUGUUCUGGGUAUUCCUGGUCCCAGGCCACUCAUGGCUCUUGCCUGUUGUGGAAGGAAAGUGCCACUCUCGAACCAGAAGACCCUGUUACCCAUUAUAUUCUUGCUUAUUAAUUUUCUUCUUGCCUUAUAAGACA